This 386-nucleotide small RNA is filed under the name Oryza sativa Japonica Group (Japanese rice). Its description in RNAcentral is "sRNA Os02g0306600". Lineage: Eukaryota; Viridiplantae; Streptophyta; Magnoliopsida; Poales; Poaceae. The record is from RNAcentral.
AGAAGGGAAUAAAAGUUCCAUCCUGGAUGGAUUGGUGAUGUUGUCGACUCGGUGAACUAUCAUUAACCUUGGCGGAGUAUAGUGCACCCCUUGAUAUUGUAAGUUGCAACACUACUUAUUUAGCAGCUGAUCAUGCAUUAUCUAUGUUUUUUUGUGAUAUAGAUAUAUGUCACAAUAGGUUCUUGGCGUAAGUUCAUCAUGUAGUUAUCAGUUAUGUGGUCUGCUCUGAAUGCGACUGUUUGAUGUCACUACGCCGCCAUGGUACUGUACAUAUGUCGCCAUUCGGUAACACGUGACCUCAAAGACUUGAGUGCUUGUAAAUAAGUUUGUGUUAAUCUUGUUUUGAAGAGUUCAAGGAUAAUGAUCGCUCAUAACUUUAAGUGUGG